RNAcentral lists this ribosomal RNA (531 nucleotides) under Clasis sp. n. 1 BFS-2018. RNAcentral describes it as "partial 16S large subunit ribosomal RNA". The stretch from base 392 to 531 matches the Rfam family "Archaeal large subunit ribosomal RNA", at positions 2544 to 2683 of the family's 2987-position model. The record is from RNAcentral. Lineage: Eukaryota; Metazoa; Arthropoda; Insecta; Hymenoptera; Ichneumonidae.
AACAUGUCUUUUUGUUAAUAAUUUAAAGUYUGAUCUGCUCAAUGAAUUAAUUUAAAUAGCUGCGGUAUACUGACCGUACAAAGGUAGCAUAAUCAAUAGUUUUUUAAUUAAAAGCUGGAAUGAAUGAUUUGAUGAGAUAUAAGCUGUCUCAAUUUUAAUAAUAUUAAAAUUUUUUUUUUAGUAAAAAUACUAAAUUGAAUUUAAAAGACGAGAAGACCCUAUAGAUUUUUAUAUUAAUAUAAUUUGAGAUUUAUAUAUUUUAAAUAAUUUAUUUUAUAUUAAUAUUUGGUUGGGGAGAUUAUUGAAUUAAAUUAACUUUGAUUUUAUGAAACUAUAAUUAUAGGAUUAUUAAUUUUUUAUUUGUAAAUAAUUUAAAUUAAAAUACCUUAGGGAUAACAGCGUAAUUUUUUUUGAGAGAUCUUAUUGAUAAAAAAGUUUGCGACCUCGAUGUUGAAUUAAGAUAAAAUUUUGAAGGAGAAUUUAAAUAUUUUUAGUCUGUUCGACUAUUAAAAUCUUACGUGAUCUGAGUUC